AUGAAUAUAACUAUUUUAAUACUACUUAUCUUCAGUCAAUUUAAAACAAUUCGGCUCUCGCGUCACAGCCCUGCGGGGGCGCGCCGCGGGAGCGCGCGGGAGCAGCAGCGCGGUCUCGUCACACCGCGGGGGGGGUGGGGGGGGGGGGGGGGUGGGGGGGGGCGCACCGGCGAGGACUUACGUAAAAACGCUUCCGACUCUUUAGCGUGUAAAAGUCACGGUAUUCGGGAGUAUCCGCGUGGAAGUACUUGCGCGCGUGGAUUGUAUAAGAACGACGUGGCGGUAUUCAGCCGAGGAAAGUACACACGAGAUGUAGGUUCACCGGUCCGGCGCCGGUCACGAACCACCGGAAUAAAGCGCCUUUUGCCGGACUUCGUUUGGACCCCGUGCGCGCGCGCGCGCGUCCACCAUGCUCGUGAACACGACGCUGUACGCGGCGAAGAAACGCAAGAAGCCGGUGCAGAAGAUGUGAGUAUAACACUGUGAAUAGUACGUAGGACGAGGUACAGAGUACACGCAUGUACUACCGCCUGAAAUACUCUCUAUUCUCUGUGAGUCGUGUACUUCAGUGUACUUCACGCUGCUGUACGCGGGUCGAUGCGUCCGUGAUGGUUUAUUGCAGGUUUUUAUCUUUGUUCCUCCCAAAAGCCUGCGCGCGACAUGGUGCGUACAGCUGUGCGCACAUCUGGGCACGUCUGCGUGGUCCGCGGGGCGCGCGGCCAAUGAGCUCCGGUUCCCCAAAGCGAGGUCCCGAAAGAGCCGUUUAAGUCUGAUCCGCCACGUGACCCGCGGCUGCGCAUGCGCACCGGAGGGCCUUCGGGUUGAGCGCUAAAUCCCUUCAUCGCGCUUACCGUCAUGACGCCUGACCGCCGGCGACCCCGCGGGGGGCCCCGGGCCGCAGUUUGAGAAGCACUACUGCAGCGGUCCUUCUCCCGUGCAUGGAGGUUCUGUAAGGAACCCAUUGUGAACCCACACUCCCGACUCCUGCCUCUAAAGGUUCUGUAAGGAACUCGUAGAAUGAGCCCAUGUUCUCUAAGGAACCUUCUCAAGUGGUACCAACUGGACCCCUGAUGGUGUCUCCUCAGAACUCAUGGAGUGGGGUCUCAGAAGGUUCGCUGUGGACCUUGAGAGAGACGAAACGAUACCACGAAGAACCAGCGGGUUCCUCUUAGAACCUUUGUGGUCCUUCGAGAUCCUUCUCAGCGUUUCCAGUGGACCCACAGUGUGUGUGUGUGUGUGUGUGUGUGUGGUUCCACCUGCAUUAAUCACAAUCAGGACGUGGAGCGAGAGCGCUCUCACGCAAUGUUUCCACGGGGGAGGGGGGGAGGAGGGUGGAGGGUUCGGGUGGUGUAAUCUGAGACGUGUUUAAUUUUUCCUCCUCCGGCUUCCACAACAUACUUCUCUUCUUCCCGUCGUUCCUUCUUUCUCUCUCUGGGUGUUUUUUCUGGUUUCUUCUGUUUCAGAAGCUCGAGGUUCCGUGAGCAGGAAUGAACUCAUACUAUUAUUAUUGUAUUAUUAUUAUUAUUAUUAAUCGAGGUCGCGGCUGCAGCAUUAAAAUGACUCUUAUUUUGAAGUCUAGAACGCGAUCCCUGACACGGAAUUAAAUGUAUAUAAUAAACUAUCAGAAU
Gasterosteus aculeatus (three-spined stickleback) is the source of this 1628-nucleotide long non-coding RNA. Lineage: Eukaryota; Metazoa; Chordata; Actinopteri; Perciformes; Gasterosteidae. The record is from Ensembl.